UUGAACGCUGGUGGCAUGCUUAACACAUGCAAGUCGAACGGAGUUAUUUUUAGCUUGCUAGAGAUAAUCGAGUGGCGGACGGGUGAGUAAUACAUAGGAAUCUAGCCUUUAGAGGGGGACAACUUAGGGAAACUUAAGCUAAUACCGCAUGAAGUCUACGGAUAAAAGCUGGCGCGAGCUGGCGCUAGAGGAUGAGCCUAUGUCGGAUUAGCUAGUUGGGAGGGUAAAGGCCUACCAAGGCGACGAUCCGUAGCUGUUCUGAGAGGAAGAUCAGCCACACUGGGACUGAGACACGGCCCAGACUCCUACGGGAGGCAGCAGUGGGGAAUAUUGGACAAUGGGGGCAACCCUGAUCCAGCAAUGCCACGUGUGUGAAGAAGGCCUGAGGGUUGUAAAGCACUUUUGUCGGGGAAGAAGUUAACGAGGUUAAGAGCUAGGUUAAUUGACAUUACCCGAAGAAAAAGCACCGGCUAACUCUGU
This 480-nucleotide ribosomal RNA is filed under the name uncultured bacterium. RNAcentral's name for it is "bacterial SSU rRNA". It matches the Rfam family "Bacterial small subunit ribosomal RNA", at positions 30 to 506 of the family's 1533-position model. The record is from RNAcentral.